CCAGUCGAGCUCCUACAGUGGGCGGAUCUCAAACGAGCUUCUACAACGGGACAGGCUCCACCGACCAGAUUACUACUCCGAGCUUCCACGAUAACUGAUCUUCGAUCGAGCUUUUACAAUAAGCGGCCUCCUUUCAGCCUUCUAUAAGAAUCAGACUCCGUCUGAACUUUCAAAGCGGAUGGAUUUCAGACGAACUUCUACAACAGACGGGCUCCAGCAGCUAGAUUUCUACAACGAUCGAUCGCAUCCGGUGUCUGCUGUACCUCCCUAGCCAUCAACCUUCAAUAGCAUCAGUCGGACUUCAAC
RNAcentral lists this long non-coding RNA (306 nucleotides) under Elaeis guineensis (African oil palm). RNAcentral's name for it is "long non-coding RNA (EGUI_LNC045746)". Lineage: Eukaryota; Viridiplantae; Streptophyta; Magnoliopsida; Arecales; Arecaceae. The record is from RNAcentral.